This 388-nucleotide ribosomal RNA is filed under the name uncultured bacterium. RNAcentral describes it as "bacterial SSU rRNA". It matches the Rfam family "Bacterial small subunit ribosomal RNA", at positions 29 to 417 of the family's 1533-position model. The record is from RNAcentral.
AUUGAACGCUGGCGGCAUGCCUUACACAUGCAAGUCGAACGGCAGCACGGGAGCAAUCCUGGUGGCGAGUGGCGAACGGGUGAGUAAUAUAUCGGAACGUGCCCAGUAGUGGGGGAUAGCCCGGCGAAAGCCGGAUUAAUACCGCAUACGACCUACGGGUGAAAGCGGGGGAGUCGCAAGACCUCGCGCUAUUGGAGCGGCCGAUAUCAGAUUAGCUAGUUGGCGGGGUAAAAGCCCACCAAGGCGACGAUCUGUAGCUGGUCUGAGAGGACGACCAGCCACACUGGGACUGAGACACGGCCCAGACUCCUACGGGAGGCAGCAGUGGGGAAUUUUGGACAAUGGGCGCAAGCCUGAUCCAGCCAUGCCGCGUGUGGGAAGAAGGCCU